AUGGCGACGUCGUCCCCGCCGCCGCCCCGCGUGUGCGUCACCGGCGGCAACGGGUUCAUAGGCUCGUGGCUCGUCAAGCUGCUCCUCUCCCGCGGCUACGCCGUCCACGCCACCGUCCGCGACCCACGUGAUCCGAAGAACGCGUUCCUGGCGGAACUGGACGGAGCCCCGGCGAACCUGCGGCUGUUCAAGGCGGACAUGCUCGACUACGAGACGGUGGCGGCCGCGUUCGCCGGCUGCGAGGGCGUCUUCCAUGUUGCCACUCCAGUGCCCGAUCAAAAGAUGGUUGACCCACAGAAAGAGAUGAUGGAACCUGCUGUCAAGGGCACCAUGAAUGUGCUCAAGGCUUGCUCAGCUACGAAAGUUCAUAAACUCAUCGUGGUCUCGUCCAUCGCCACUAAUUGCUUCAACCCGGAUUGGCCUCGAGAUAAAAUCAAAGAUGAGAGCUGUUGGUCAGACAAGGAGUUCUGCAGACAGACUGAGAACUGGUAUUCUCUUGCAAAGACUGAAGCCGAGGAGAUGGCCCUGGAAUACGGAGAGAAGAACGGGCUGCACGUCGUCACAUUUUGCCCUGGUCUGGUUUUCGGCCCUCUGUUGAAGCAUGUGGCGGUCAAUACCAGCAGCAAGGUCCUCGUCUACAUGAUAAAAGGAGGCCCCGACACGAUGAACAACAAGUUCUUUCCCAUAGUAGACGUUCGUGAUAUCGCCGACGCAUUGCUCCUGUUGUACAACAAGGCAGGGCAGUCUGAGAGAUACAUAUGCUCACUGGACCAAAUGGACCUAAAGGAUUUGCUCGCAAUCCUGAAGAGCAUGUACCCUAGCUACACUUAUGUAGACAAGAUGGUUGAUGUGGAUUUUAGCGUUGGAGUCACUUCGGAAAAGCUGAAGAAUUUAGGGUGGAAACCAAGGAAGUUGGAGGAGACACUCGCAGAUAGUAUCGAAUCCUACGAAAAAGCAGGGCUUCUUGGGGUUUCAGAUGACGAACCAUGCCGGCUUCCAUUCAUCUAUCGAAUGCCGCCUAUCCAGGAAUGA
This 1032-nucleotide ribosomal RNA is filed under the name Triticum aestivum (bread wheat). RNAcentral's name for it is "partial small subunit ribosomal RNA". Lineage: Eukaryota; Viridiplantae; Streptophyta; Magnoliopsida; Poales; Poaceae. The record is from RNAcentral.